Molecule: non-coding RNA, 21 nt
Filed under: Arabidopsis thaliana (thale cress)
Lineage: Eukaryota; Viridiplantae; Streptophyta; Magnoliopsida; Brassicales; Brassicaceae
Source: RNAcentral
GGAGAUCCUAGAAUGUUGGUU